AGCCUCUUGACCUAUUAAUAUAAGAGGUACUGCCUGCCCAGUGACACCUGUUCAACGGCCGCGGUAUCAUGACCGUGCAAAGGUAGCGUAAUCACUUGUCUUUUAAAUAAAGACCGGUAUGAAUGGCGAAACGAGAGCCAAGCUGUCUCUCCCAGUUAAUCAGUGAAAUUGAUCUUCCCGUGCAGAAGCGGGAAUACAAUUACAAGACGAGAAGACCCUAUGGAGCUUUAAGCUAAACUAACUACGCAAACUAAACUACAAGGUACCAUUAGUAUAAAGCUUUAGGUUGGGGCGACCGCGGAGAAAAAUAAAACCUCCGAGAUGAUUUAGCCAAGAAAAACACAUCAAAGCAACAAAAACCUUGACACAUUGACCCAAUACUUGACCAACGAACCAAGUUACCCUAGGGAUAACAGCGCAAUCUUCUCAUAGAGUCCUUAUCGACGAGAAGGUUUACGACCUCGAUGUUGGAUCAGGGCCCCCAAAUGGUGCAGCAGCUAUUAAAGGUUCGUUUGUUCAACGAUUAAAGCCCU
This 533-nucleotide ribosomal RNA is filed under the name Eurycea guttolineata (three-lined salamander). RNAcentral's name for it is "partial 16S ribosomal RNA". It matches the Rfam family "Bacterial large subunit ribosomal RNA", at positions 1816 to 2597 of the family's 2925-position model. Lineage: Eukaryota; Metazoa; Chordata; Amphibia; Caudata; Plethodontidae. The record is from RNAcentral.